Cinclus cinclus is the source of this 133-nucleotide small nucleolar RNA. NCBI's taxonomy places the organism in Eukaryota, Metazoa, Chordata, Aves, Passeriformes, Cinclidae. The record is from RefSeq and is a predicted model, not a curated record.
CCGCACUGCCUUUGACCCGGCCGUGCCCCUCCUGGCGCCGCCGGCCAAGCAGCGGUGCUACAGCAAAGCGCUUGUUCAUAACUGGUGCUGCUCGGCCCGACCCGGGCGGCGCUUUUAAAAACAAGUGACAUUU